GCGGGCGUGGCGGAAUCGGUAGACGCAGCAGACUUAAAAUCUGCCGGCCGCAAGGCCGUGCCGGUUCAAGUCCGGCCGCCCGCA
This 84-nucleotide transfer RNA is filed under the name Maricaulis maris. Its description in RNAcentral is "tRNA-Leu". It matches the Rfam family "tRNA". Rfam says of the family: Transfer RNA (tRNA) molecules are approximately 80 nucleotides in length. Their secondary structure includes four short double-helical elements and three loops (D, anti-codon, and T loops). Further hydrogen bonds mediate the characteristic L-shaped molecular structure. tRNAs have two regions of fundamental functional importance: the anti-codon, which is responsible for specific mRNA codon recognition, and the 3' end, to which the tRNAs corresponding amino acid is attached (by aminoacyl-tRNA synthetases). tRNAs cope with the degeneracy of the genetic code in two manners: having more than one tRNA (with a specific anti-codon) for a particular amino acid; and 'wobble' base-pairing, i.e. permitting non-standard base-pairing at the 3rd anti-codon position. The record is from RNAcentral. Lineage: Bacteria; Pseudomonadati; Pseudomonadota; Alphaproteobacteria; Maricaulales; Maricaulaceae.